UGGCUCAGAACGAACGCUGGCGGCAUGCCUUACACAUGCAAGUCGAACGGCAGCAUGGAGGAGCUUGCUCCUCUGAUGGCGAGUGGCGAACGGGUGAGUAAAGCAUCGGAACGUGCCGUGUAGUGGGGGAUAACGUAGCGAAAGUUACGCUAAUACCGCAUACGCACCGAGGUGGAAAGCAGGGGAUCGCAAGACCUUGCGCUAUACGAGCGGCCGAUGUCAGAUUAGCUAGUUGUUUGCGUAAAGGCCUACGANGACGACGAUCUGUAGCGGGUCUGAGAGGAUGAUCCGCCAC
RNAcentral lists this ribosomal RNA (295 nucleotides) under uncultured bacterium. RNAcentral's name for it is "partial 16S ribosomal RNA". It matches the Rfam family "Bacterial small subunit ribosomal RNA", at positions 20 to 311 of the family's 1533-position model. The record is from RNAcentral.